This 441-nucleotide long non-coding RNA is filed under the name Zea mays. RNAcentral describes it as "long non-coding RNA (ZMAY_LNC004243)". Lineage: Eukaryota; Viridiplantae; Streptophyta; Magnoliopsida; Poales; Poaceae. The record is from RNAcentral.
AAGAAGACUAAAAUAGCCUUUAAUAUUCUCCUGCUAUUAGUACAAUUGAACUAAAUGAAGGGCAAAUGUAGAAUUAAUAUGAUUUAGUCUUUUUAACCAUAUCUUGAGAGACUAGAGACUAAAUCAGUUUAGUCUCUGUUUUAAUCCUACUGUUUGACAAUUUAGGAACUAAAUAAAACUAAAAUAGAGGGACUCUUAAACCAAACGAGGCCUUAGAGUAAUUUUGAUUGGCCGAAGCGGCGGUCUCUGCCCUGGAAGGAGCGCAACGCUUCCAGGUACUCAGCCUCCCCAAAGUCAGGCCACAUCUUGGCGGUGAAGAACAACUCCGAGUACGCCGACUGCCAUAGCAAGAAGUUGCUGAGCCUCAUCUCGCCGCUGGUUCUGAUGACCAGGUCGGGACAGGAGAACUCGCCGGCGGCGCUCGUCGCGAGCUUGCCGGCG